AAAUUGGAUAUUUUGCAUAUUUUCUAAACUUUCGAUAAAUGCUUCAAUUCUGAUGCAUGGAAUAGUUCUGUCUUGGGCCAGUGCUUAAUUCUUCUUGUGCACUUGAUCCUUGAUUAAUCAUGUUAACCCAUUUUAUAUGGCUGUGACAUGUUUGUCCUAGAUUAAUUGGUGAUUGUGUGCAGUUUCUGAAGUAAAAGACACACAGUUGCUCUUGCUAUCUAUUCUUCUGCUCGCUUGACGAUACCACCGACCAGGAUUUCUUUCGCGCUGACAACCUUUUCGUUGUGACCGGUGGUUCCUUCAUGCCACCGUUUUGCUGCUUUGUUCUUUGUUUUUUCUUCUUGGGAUCACGUAAUUUGGUUGUUAAGUUUCGGUGCACUAAAAAUAGUUGUUUUUUCUUGUGUAGGCUGCAGGGCUCUAUUGUUGUUGGUAGGAGUGGUCAGCAUUCAUGUGGCCAACGACAAGGAAUGUCUCCUUCCGAUGUCGCCUGCUCUGUCUAAGGUGCGGUAGCCCCUCAGACCAUGGGCAAGGAAGGCAUGGUAGGUCUACUGAUCUCCGGCGAACGCUUGACUAAUUCUAGAGCAAGCAAAAGUGGGCUCAUAUCUUUUCCGUUCUGAAAGAUCAAUAUUUUUUCUAUCCAACAAGUGUUCAAUUGUGAUAACCGAGGGGUGAUAGUUUUGGACUAACCCAUUUAGAUGAGGCAUGCAAUGAUACUUGGUGAACUCUAGGUUUUAGCACCUCUAAGGUGAUAUUUUUGGACUUCCUAUUCAGUGAGGCCUGCAAUGCCAAUAUCUUACCGUGCUCCAACAAAUCCUAGCUCUCACUGAUGAGAAUGAUACCUUGUCCAAUAAAUGACGAACUCCAUGUUUUAGCACCUCUAAGGUGAUAUUUUUAGACUUCCUAUUCAGAUGAGGCCUCCAAUGCCAGCAUCUUAUUCUGCUCCGAAAAAAAUCCUAGCUCUCACUGAUGAGAAUGAUAGUUGGUACUGUAAAUGGAGAACUCCAUAUUUUACCACCUCUAAGGUAUAUUGUAUUCUCACUGGACGUUAUAUUUUACCACCUCUAAGGUAUACCUCUAAGGUAGUGUUUCUCUUUUCUUUUCUUGACAGCUUUGAGAGAAGAAUAAGAACGGAAAUUUCACUACUUUCAGAUGUCCAUACUCACCUAUACCUAUGCUUCUGUUAUUAAUUUUUUAUUUUUCAUGGAUAAAUGAGCAAGGGUCCAUUUUGUUUGGCUUCCGAGGGGUUCCAUCGGGGACUGCGUAUUAUUGCAAACUGGUGAUUUCUAUAAGUAAGCAUGCUAUUUGUGGCUCG
Non-coding RNA from Lolium perenne, 1312 nucleotides. The record is from RefSeq and is a predicted model, not a curated record. NCBI's taxonomy places the organism in Eukaryota, Viridiplantae, Streptophyta, Magnoliopsida, Poales, Poaceae.